Nannospalax galili (Upper Galilee mountains blind mole rat) is the source of this 298-nucleotide long non-coding RNA. RefSeq lists it as uncharacterized. The record is from RefSeq and is a predicted model, not a curated record. Lineage: Eukaryota; Metazoa; Chordata; Mammalia; Rodentia; Spalacidae. The transcript is spliced from 2 exons.
CAGCAGGUAAAUCCUAACUCCUGUAACCCCGGGACUGAAAAUACUGAGAAACAAGUCCUCACAUGGAAUUGUCUGAAUAAUGGAAGUUGAACUCCCAACCUUAAAGAUGGAAUCCCACUGAAAAGGGCCAACAGCCCAUGGAAAACAAAUGAUGCAGAGACCCGAAAGUUCAGUGUCUUGCCACAAUGGGCGGAAGACCAUCCCACACCUACCACCAGCUUCAAGGCUCAGAGAUUUUUGUGGAAGAAAUUGGUGGAAAGAAUUGGUGGAAAUUGGUGGAAAGAGCCUGAAGAAGAGG